UACGUAGGGUGCAAGCGUUGUCCGGAUUUAUUGGGUUUAAAGGGUGCGUAGGCGGCUCCUUAAGUCAGCGGUGAAAGCCCGGGGCUCAACCCCGGAACCGCCGUUGAUACUGGGGGGCUUGAGUAUGGACGAGGUUGGCGGAAUUGAGGGUGUAGCGGUGAAAUGCUUAGAUACCCUCAAGAACACCGAUUGCGUAGGCAGCUAACUAGGCCAUAACUGACGCUGAGGCACGAAAGCGUGGGGAGCGAACAGG
RNAcentral lists this ribosomal RNA (253 nucleotides) under uncultured bacterium. Its description in RNAcentral is "partial 16S ribosomal RNA". It matches the Rfam family "Bacterial small subunit ribosomal RNA", at positions 524 to 776 of the family's 1533-position model. The record is from RNAcentral.